This 438-nucleotide long non-coding RNA is filed under the name Brassica rapa (field mustard). RNAcentral's name for it is "long non-coding RNA (BRAP_LNC007760)". The record is from RNAcentral. Lineage: Eukaryota; Viridiplantae; Streptophyta; Magnoliopsida; Brassicales; Brassicaceae.
GGAAACUACAAUCAUUACGGGAUUUGCCCUAAUUAUCCCUAUUUUCUCUCCCAGCCGCCUGUGGCUUUGAUAUAUCAUAUUUUCGGUUUCUUUUUAUCAUUCUACGCUAUUCUAGACAGAAGAAAACCAUUGGAGACUUUUGUGCUUUUGGAUUGUAAAGGGAGAAGGCUCCAUCUCUCUCACCAUAGAGAAGAUUAUCCUGAACCCUCUUUCUAUCUCUUUUAUUUACAUGAAGUCUUAUUCAGAAUUGAUCUCUGUGUUUUCUCUGUUCAUGGCUGAGUAGUCAAAUUGCUUAGUCUAGGGUGUUCGGGUGUUAGAUCCGUGAGUUAAACAUAGAUAAGUGAAACCAUUGAUUGUCUUCAUUCAUAACUAUUCUUAAUGCUUGCAUUAAUCUGGCCGCUUAAUGUUAGAUCCUAGGUUUAACCUGUUCAUUAACCG